AGUACCGGGAAAACAGGAGCGUGUGAUUGGGGUUUACAGUGUUUUCUCUCGCUCUCUCUGUUUCUAGGGAAUUCGGGCUGUGUUUAGCUGCUGGAAUAUCGUAGAAUUGGUUUUCAGAGAAGUUCCUCGACUCCUGAGGCGAAACAUAAAGGGAUGGGAGUGGUGUGGGAAGUGAUCGUGUGGGGAAAAAAAAGUUUCGAGCCCGUUUCGCAUUUGUGGAGACAGAGUUUUUGGUGUGACCACUCUUUUGUGGGAAACCCAAACCAAGGAGAACUCAGGAGAAUUGGCGCUCUUCGGUCCUGGAGGUUCCGCAGCUAACAUCCCGGCUUGACCAACUAUCGAGGCCGCAAAUUAAUAGGGCACCUCCUGGGAGGAAAACGCCCAUCCUGACUUCUCAACUGUGACAGUUUGCUCUGUCGCCCAGGAUGGAGUGCAGUGCAGUGGCGCGAUCCUGCAACCUCCGCCUCUCGAGUUCAAGCGAUUCUCCUGCCUCAGCCUCCCGAGUAGCUGGGAUUACAGACGCGCGCCACCCCACCCAGAUGAUCUUUUUAAAUGCAAAAUGCCAUCGACGCAGAAAAUCAAAGACAAAAUCUUGCUCUGUCUCCCAGGCUGGAGAGCAGUGGCACCAUCUUGGCUCACUGCAACCUCCACCUCUUGGUUCCAGCAAUCCUUCUACCCCAGCCUCCAGAGUAGGCGGGAUUACAGACAACUGCUCCGGCUUUUCCUUCCACUAUGAUUGGAAGCUUCCUGAGGCCUCCCCAGAAGUAGAAGCCACUACGCUUCCUGUACAGCCUGCAGAACCAUGAGCCAACUAAACCUCUUCUCUUUAUAAAUAUCCCAGUCUUAGGUAUUUCUUUAUAGCAAUGCAAGAACGAACUAAUACAGAAUGUGUUUUCAAGAAAUUUGUCUGUUUCAUCUGAAUUUUCAAUUGGAUUGACUAUGAUAUUUCUCUUUUUUUGUUUGUUCAUUUUUGAUGAGGGGAUCUUACUAUGUUGCUCAGGCUGGUUAAAAACUCCUAGACUCAACCAAUCCUCCCAUUUCAGCUUCCCAAUAGGUGGUAGGAUUUCUAGUUAUCUUGAUUUGUUGAGUCUUUUAUGAAAUAUUCUUUUUGUUUUUAGUAGUAUUAUCGAAACAAAUUUGACUUUGUCUGCUAUUAGAGAAGUCAUAUCAGCUGUCUCUGGUUAGUGUUUUUAUGAUAAACUUUUUUCCAUCCUUUUUCUUUCACCUCUGUGCCAUUUUUAUGGCAUAUCUCUUUAAACAGCAUAUGAUUGGGUUUUUGAUUUUGUAACCAGUCUGACAAUCUUGGUCUUGGUAUACUUACUCAAUAUAUUCGAAGUUAAAACUACCACAUUACAUUUAUUUUAUAUUUGUUCUAUUUGUCCUAUUUCAUUUUCUUCUUUCCCACUUUAACAAAUUAUUUUUAUCUUUCAAUGCCCCCCUCCAGUAGCUUGUUAUUAUAGUUUUUAAAAUUAAACUUUUACUCUUAAUUGCAUAUUGUCAUACAGUUGUAAGAAGCAUUACAGAGAGACACUGUGUCUUUACCCCAUUUUCUCCAAUGACAAUAUUUUGCAAAACUGUAGUACAGUAUCAUAACCAGGAAUUGACAUUGAUACAGUCAAGAUACAGAACAUUUCCAUCACCACAAGGAUCCCUCAAAUUGCCCUUUUAUUGCCUCACCCACUCCCUCCCGUCCCCACUGCCUUCUGAACACCUGGCAACCACUAAGCUGUUCUUUAUUUCUAUAAUUUUGUCAUUUCAAGACAAAAUAUACAAAAAGGCAUGGGCUUAUAUAGUAUGUAACCUUUGGAAUUUUUUUUCUUUUUUGAGACGGAGUCUCGCUCUGUCGCCAGGCUCGAGUGCAGUGGUGCGAUCUCAGGUCACUGCAGUCUCCACCUCCCGUGUUGAAGCAAUUAUCCUGCCUCAGCCUCCAGAGUAGCUGGGACUACAGAUGUGCACCACCACACCCAGCUAAUUUUUGUAUUUUUAGUAGAGAUGGGGUCUCACCAUGUUGGCCAGGAUGGUCUUGAUCUCCUGACCUCAUGAUUUGCCCGCCUCAGCCUCCCAAAGUGUUGGGUUACAGGCAUAAGCCACUGUGCCUGGCCUGGAAUUUUUUUUUCCCCCACUCAAUGUAACUCCCUGAAGAUUCAUCCAGGCUGUUGCAUGUAUCAGUAAUUUGUUCCUUUUUAUUGCUGAGUAGUAUGGUAUGGAUUUAGAACAGUUUGUUUAGCCAUUCACCCAGUGAAGGACAUCUGGGUUGUUUCUAGUUUGGGGAUAUUAUGAAUAAAGCUGCUAUAAACAUUAA
This 2302-nucleotide long non-coding RNA is filed under the name Homo sapiens (human). RNAcentral's name for it is "SAP30 divergent transcript, transcript variant 6 (SAP30-DT)". Lineage: Eukaryota; Metazoa; Chordata; Mammalia; Primates; Hominidae. The record is from RNAcentral.